UACGUAGGUGGCAAGCGUUAUCCGGAAUGAUUGGGCGUAAAGGGUGCGUAGGCGGCGUCAUUAAGUCUGAAGUAAAACGGCAGCAGCUCAACUGCUGUAAGCAUUGGAAACUGAUGAGCUAGAGUGCAGGAGAGGUUAGUGGAAUUCCAUGUGUAGCGGUAAAAUGCGUAGAUAUAUGGAGGAACACCAGUGGCGAAGGCGGCUAAACU
Molecule: ribosomal RNA, 209 nt
Filed under: uncultured archaeon
Lineage: Archaea
Description: partial 16S ribosomal RNA
Rfam family: Bacterial small subunit ribosomal RNA
Source: RNAcentral